ACCAAGGCAAUGUACAAAAGUGAGUGAGUUUACGUUAGCAUUAGCCGGCUAACUGACUAGCUAGCAAGCUGGCUAACCGACUAGCUAGCAGGCUGGCUAGCCAGCCCUACUUGGCUUCUGUCUAUCAUUAUGCUAGCUAGUGAAAGUCAAUUUGUCCCUCAACCUGCUACAAGAUGAAGCUGCCCAGCCAGAGGUGUACCUGCUGCAGAAAGGUGAUAUUUCUACAUUACUUUUUGCAGCUAACUUCACUAGAUCUUCUUGCUGGCUGAUGUUGGUGCUUAUUAACUGAGUAGGUUAAUAAUUAACUGCAGUUACUGUAAAUGUUACCUGUCUGGGCCUUUGCAUAUGUAUUUCUUUCACAUAAAACACAACAAUAUCCAGUUAAACUACAUUCAAUGCUGAUAUUGUAUCAGUAUGGCAUCUGAACAGAUCAUCAUGAACUUCAUUCAGUUACAUCAGCCAAUGCAGUAAGUUUUUAAAAUCAGCCUUUUUAUUGGUGUGGGUAUAAUUCACAAACCUCCUUGCCUGCUUACAGAAAGGCAGAUAUAGAAAAGGCUAUGUGUGAGGAUACUACAUUAAUCGCUGGGACAAUUGACCUUCUUUUCUGAAUGUAUACAUACCACCUUUCAGGGGGCUGAUAACCAAUUUUACAGAUCCAGUCUGAUAUUACUUGAUUACGGAUUCCCCCUACACUCUCUCCUCUCUCAUUCACAGGACCAUUCCAACAGUCCAGUCACUCAGCCCUAUCCAGAAACUCUCAAGUUCACUCACUCAGCCAGUAGGCUGGGUGAUGGCACCUACAGGCCUGUUUGAGGGACAACUGGACAGAACAUAUCAGAAUGCUUGGACCUCGGCUGAGACUCGCCUCUCCUUCCCAGUCUUUCAAGGAAAGCACCUACUUUACACUUCCUGUUUGGCAUGAUGAUCUCAAGCAACAGUCUUCCAACAACAUUCCACCUCUCCGCCACCACCAGCAUAUAUAACCUGAAGGCCCGUCAUCAGAUCCCUGUUCUCCCAGUUGGGGGUGGGGGGGGGUUUCGGUGCCAGCUGCCCAGCAUAGGGCAACCUGUCAUCAGCAUCUGGCUCUGAGGAGCAAUCCUCUGAGACGAGGUCUACCCCAAACUAUUCAAUAA
Long non-coding RNA from Salvelinus sp. IW2-2015, 1133 nucleotides. RefSeq lists it as uncharacterized. Lineage: Eukaryota; Metazoa; Chordata; Actinopteri; Salmoniformes; Salmonidae. The record is from RefSeq and is a predicted model, not a curated record.